UGCCUACGGGAGGCAGCAGUGAGGAAUAUUGGUCAAUGGCCGCAGGGCUGAACCAGCCAAGUCGCGUGAGGGAUGACGGUCCUAUGGAUUGUAAACCUCUUUUGUCAGGGAGCAAAGGGCGCCACGUGUGGCGUUUUGCGAGUACCUGAAGAAAAAGCAUCGGCUAACUCCGUGCCAGCAGCCGCGGUAAUACGGAGGAUGCGAGCGUUAUCCGGAUUUAUUGGGCUUAAAGGGUGCGUAGGCGGAAGGUUAAGUCAGCGGUCAAAUGUCGGUGCUCAACACCGGCCUGCCGUUGAAACUGGUCU
This 305-nucleotide ribosomal RNA is filed under the name uncultured bacterium. RNAcentral describes it as "bacterial SSU rRNA". It matches the Rfam family "Bacterial small subunit ribosomal RNA", at positions 335 to 639 of the family's 1533-position model. The record is from RNAcentral.